UACUGGUAGAUCCAGGUCUACUUAUUGGACACCACUGCUUUAGCCGUUGAAUGACAGCUGGUGCCGAACAAGAGACGGAGGUUGAUUAACAGAGAGCACCUGUGGAACAAAUGACGCAGAAAGAGAAAGAAAUACAUGGCCAUAUCUCAGGCUCUUUGUUUUCAAAUACAAAGGAGGCAAUAACUUUAACAUGCAGUGCAAAAUGUGCCUGUCCCUGGCUGUCGAAACUUCCAGAACAAACCCGCGAAAGCGUGUGGCGAGUACAGUACAACUGCAUAUGUAAACACACACCAAGGGAACUCCGAGCUGCUCUCAUGUUCUGGCAGAUGUGUAUCACGGUUGGACCCCGCCCCUCCUCCCACCUUUGAACCAGAGGUUGUUAAUGAAUCUUGUUGAAAGCACCGGUAUCAGCUGUCAGCUUACUGCCCUUACAUCUCAGCGGCAUCACGUAUUUCUCCUGGAUGGUGGCGUAGAGCUGCAGCGUCAGCUGAGGGGUGGAGCCCAAGAAAGCCUGGAUGACUGCGGUG
Molecule: long non-coding RNA, 527 nt
Organism: Cynoglossus semilaevis (tongue sole)
Lineage: Eukaryota; Metazoa; Chordata; Actinopteri; Pleuronectiformes; Cynoglossidae
Exons: 3
Source: RefSeq, a predicted model, not a curated record